Molecule: ribosomal RNA, 427 nt
Filed under: uncultured Acidobacteriota bacterium
Lineage: Bacteria; Pseudomonadati; Acidobacteriota
Description: bacterial SSU rRNA
Rfam family: Bacterial small subunit ribosomal RNA
Source: RNAcentral
AACGCGAAGAACCUUACCUGGGCUUGAACCGCACAGGACCAGCUUGAGAAAUCAGGCCUUCCCGCAAGGGACCUGUGUAGAGGUGCUGCAUGGCUGUCGUCAGCUCGUGCCGUGAGGUGUUGGGUUAAGUCCCGCAACGAGCGCAACCCUUACUCAUAGUUGCUACCCGCAAGGGAGAACUCUAUGAGGACUGCUCCGGAUAACGGAGAGGAAGGUGGGGAUGAGGUCAAGUCAGCAUGGCCUUUAUGUCCAGGGCUACACACGUGUUACAAUGCGCGCCACAAAGCGUCGCGAACCCGCGAGGGGGAGCUAAUCGCAAAAAAGCGCGCUCAGUUCGGAUUGCAGUCUGCAACUCGACUGCAUGAAGCCGGAAUCGCUAGUAAUGGCGCAUCAGAACGGCGCCGUGAAUACGUUCCCGGGCCUUGUA